CAAUCUCUUGGGACACUGGGGAUACUGAGAGGCUUGAAUCCUUCUCUGCGGAAUCGCUUUCUCCAAUACGCAGUGCUGUCCACAACCGACUUCCAGUCAUUACACACCAGGCGGCACACAUUAAUCACCUGCUGGCCAGAAACACACACCAAGUGACAAUCCCUGAAUAUCUCUAGGAGCUGAGUGUGACAAGUUUUAAAACAACAACAACAACAAAAAUUGCAGUCAGUGCAGUAAAGAGUGGAAAGUCCAUUGAGAGGCAAGGGCGAGUCCAAAAAAAGAAUGAAACGAGUCUUCUGUCUUUUUGGCAGAACACAAAGAAGUCUUGCUGAAAGAGCCCCGUUCUCUUGGGAUUCAGUUCACAUUCCUUUAGAAUUCUCUGGUAUAAUUCAAAACUCAUUGUUCAAUGAAUGAUGGCAAGUUGUCCCAGCUCAGAUGCAGCAAAACAGGCACAAACUAUGAUACUACCACCACCAUGUUUCACAGAUAGGAUAAGGUUCUUAUGCUGGAAUGCAGUGUUUUCCUUUCUCCAAACAUAACGCUUCUCAUUUAAAUCAAAAAUUCUAUUUUGGUCUCAUCCACCCACAAAACAUUUUCCAAAUCUCCACAAGCCUUCUAGCUCAUCCACGUGAUCAGAUGGGCAGCAAUCUCCUUUGUUUGUUCUAUGGUACACUUCCACAAUCCUGUGUUGUGACGAUCAGACUUUGAUAGAUGCUUGUUCUUUAAAUAAAACGGG
Long non-coding RNA from Ictalurus punctatus (channel catfish), 736 nucleotides. RefSeq lists it as uncharacterized. The record is from RefSeq and is a predicted model, not a curated record. The transcript is spliced from 2 exons. NCBI's taxonomy places the organism in Eukaryota, Metazoa, Chordata, Actinopteri, Siluriformes, Ictaluridae.